AACGAACGCUGGCGGCAGGCCUAACACAUGCAAGUCGAGCGAGGACUUCGGUCCCAGCGGCGGACGGGUGAGUAACGCGUGGGAACGUGCCCUUUGCUUCGGAAUAGCCCUGGGAAACUGGGAGUAAUACCGGAUGAGCCCUUUGGGGGAAAGAUUUAUCGGCGAAGGAUCGGCCCGCGUUGGAUUAGGUAGUUGGUGGGGUAAUGGCCUACCAAGCCGACGAUCCAUAGCUGGUUUGAGAGGAUGAUCAGCCACACUGGGACUGAGACACGGCCCAGACUCCUACGGGAGGCAGCAGUGGGGAAUCUUAGACAAUGGGGGAAACCCUGAUCUAGCCAUGCCGCGUGAGCGAUGAAGGCCUUAGGGUUGUAAAGCUCUUUCAGCUGGGAAGAUAAUGACGGUACCAGCAGAAGAAGCCCCGGCUAACUCCGUG
RNAcentral lists this ribosomal RNA (433 nucleotides) under uncultured bacterium. RNAcentral describes it as "partial 16S ribosomal RNA". It matches the Rfam family "Bacterial small subunit ribosomal RNA", at positions 29 to 507 of the family's 1533-position model. The record is from RNAcentral.